CUAACACAUGCAAGUCGAACGAAGUAGCAAUACUUAGUGGCAGACGGGUGAGUAACAUGUGGGUAUCUACCCUUUGGCCUGGAAUAACACGAGGAAACUUGUGCUAAUACCGGAUAAGUCUUUACGGAGAAAGCUUUAUGCACCAUUGGAUGAGCCCGCACUUGAUUAGUUUGUUGGUAGGGUAAUGGCCUACCAAGACUAUGAUCAAUAGCUGAUUUGAGAGGAUGAUCAGCCACAUUGGGACUGAGACACGGCCCAAACUCCUACGGGAGGCAGCAGUGGGGAAUCUUGCACAAUGGAGGAAACUCUGAUGCAGCGAUGCCGCGUGAGUGAAGAAGGCCCUUGGGUUGUAAAGCUCUUUCGUCGGGGAAGAAAAUGACUGUACCCGAAUAAGAAGGUCCGGCUAACU
RNAcentral lists this ribosomal RNA (409 nucleotides) under uncultured bacterium. RNAcentral describes it as "bacterial SSU rRNA". It matches the Rfam family "Bacterial small subunit ribosomal RNA", at positions 48 to 502 of the family's 1533-position model. The record is from RNAcentral.